UACGGAGGGUGCAAGCGUUAUCCGGAUUCACUGGGUUUAAAGGGUGCGUAGGUGGGCAGGUAAGUCCGUGGUGAAAUCUCUGAGCUUAACUCAGAAACUGCCGUGGAUACUAUUUGUCUUGAAUAUUGUGGAGGUGAGCGGAAUAUGUCAUGUAGCGGUGAAAUGCUUAGAUAUGACAUAGAACACCAAUUUGCGAAGGCAGCUCACUACACAAUUAUUUGACGUGAGGCACGAAAAGCGUGGGGGAUCAAAACAGG
Molecule: ribosomal RNA, 257 nt
Filed under: uncultured bacterium
Lineage: Bacteria
Description: partial 16S ribosomal RNA
Rfam family: Bacterial small subunit ribosomal RNA
Source: RNAcentral